RNAcentral lists this ribosomal RNA (440 nucleotides) under Streptomyces scabiei. Its description in RNAcentral is "bacterial SSU rRNA". It matches the Rfam family "Bacterial small subunit ribosomal RNA", at positions 556 to 994 of the family's 1533-position model. Lineage: Bacteria; Bacillati; Actinomycetota; Actinomycetes; Kitasatosporales; Streptomycetaceae. The record is from RNAcentral.
GGGCGUAAGAGCUCGUAGGCGGUCUGUCGCGUCGGAUGUGAAAGCCUGGGGCUUAACCCCGGGUCUGCAUUCGAUACGGGCAGACUAGAGUGUGGUAGGGGAGAUCGGAAUUCCUGGUGUAGCGGUGAAAUGCGCAGAUAUCAGGAGGAACACCGGUGGCGAAGGCGGAUCUCUGGGCCAUUACUGACGCUGAGGAGCGAAAGCGUGGGGAGCGAACAGGAUUAGAUACCCUGGUAGUCCACGCCGUAAACGGUGGGAACUAGGUGUUGGCGACAUUCCACGUCGUCGGUGCCGCAGCUAACGCAUUAAGUUCCCCGCCUGGGGAGUACGGCCGCAAGGCUAAAACUCAUAGGAAUUGACGGGAGCCCGCAUAAACAGCGGAGCAUGUGGCUUAAUUCGACGCAGCGCAAAAAACCUUACCAAGGUUUGACCUACACCGG